RNAcentral lists this non-coding RNA (507 nucleotides) under Fusarium sp. R9-9. Its description in RNAcentral is "eukaryotic LSU rRNA". The stretch from base 161 to 314 matches the Rfam family "5.8S ribosomal RNA". The record is from RNAcentral. Lineage: Eukaryota; Fungi; Ascomycota; Sordariomycetes; Hypocreales; Nectriaceae. RNAcentral also lists the same sequence under 1 other name.
AGGGAUCAUUACCGAGUUUACAACUCCCAAACCCCUGUGAACAUACCUAUACGUUGCCUCGGCGGAUCAGCCCGCGCCCCGUAAAAAGGGACGGCCCGCCCGAGGACCCCUAAACUCUGUUUUUAGUGGAACUUCUGAGUAAAACAAACAAAUAAAUCAAAACUUUCAACAACGGAUCUCUUGGUUCUGGCAUCGAUGAAGAACGCAGCAAAAUGCGAUAAGUAAUGUGAAUUGCAGAAUUCAGUGAAUCAUCGAAUCUUUGAACGCACAUUGCGCCCGCCAGUAUUCUGGCGGGCAUGCCUGUUCGAGCGUCAUUUCAACCCUCAAGCUCAGCUUGGUGUUGGGACUCGCGGUAACCCGCGUUCCCCAAAUCGAUUGGCGGUCACGUCGAGCUUCCAUAGCGUAGUAAUCAUACACCUCGUUACUGGUAAUCGUCGCGGCCACGCCGUAAAACCCCAACUUCUGAAUGUUGACCUCGGAUCAGGUAGGAAUACCCGCUGAACUUAA